Long non-coding RNA from Protobothrops mucrosquamatus (brown spotted pit viper), 522 nucleotides. RefSeq lists it as uncharacterized. The record is from RefSeq and is a predicted model, not a curated record. The transcript is spliced from 2 exons. Lineage: Eukaryota; Metazoa; Chordata; Lepidosauria; Squamata; Viperidae.
AGGUGGCCCGGAGGCCCUGGAUCUUCACGGACGAGGACGGCCAGGACCAGAUUGGCGGCUUCGUGAAGGAGUUCACCAACAUCGCCUUCCUCACCGUCAAGGGCGCUGGCCACAUGGUGCCCACCGACCGGCCACGAGCGGCCUUCAACAUGUUCCAGCGGUUCCUCGCCCGGCAGCCCUUCUGAGCCCAGGAAGAGGGUCUUUCCUGGGGGGGUCUGGCCCCCUCCCUCUGUGGCGUGGCAGCCAGGAGCGGCUCCUGACUGGCCCUUUGUGGAAUCCUGGAAGGAAUCGGACUCUCUGGCACGGCCCCGUCUGCCCUCGCCCUUCUCUGCGCAUUUGCACUGCCCUCAAGGAGGAAGCCAGUCCUCCCGCUAUCCUCACGGGUGGGGGGAAGGGGGGGAACCAUUUCUCAGUCUUCGUUCUGGUUACUCUGGAAGGAGGAACUCGACGUGAGGUCAAGAGAGCAGCCAUGUUCUCCUUUCUGGUCCAAGCAAGCGAUUAAACUAGUAUUUUUCUAAUGGA